UUAGACUAUCAGACUGCAAAGCUAAAUAAAAAUGCUAAUGAAAAAAUGCUGAAUGAAAAAAAAAUGCAACCUUUUGUUAAACACAUUAAAUAGUACAAAAAGUAAAUACAUCUUUGUAAAAAAAAUGUUUUACAUGUUUUAGUUGUUCCUUUAAGAGAGAAGAACCUGAGACCAUAAAGACUACUGAAUGACAGUCCUGCAUGCAUACUACACAACCAGGCAGCCAUCCAAAUAUGUUAAUAAACUUUAAAAUAUUUUCUUUUCUCAAUUUCAAACUUGCAAAUUUAUCAAUUCAUCUUUUUCAAUAGACAAAACUCCCAGAUCUGAAAGUUGCAUCUGUUCUAUUAGGAUUUCAAAUAAUGAUAGUAAAAGAUAAAGGCUUAGUAAAAAGAGAAAUGGCAAACAGGUUUUUAAAAGUGUGAGGUUUGUCCAAACAUUUUAACAGACUUUGAUGUGCAAACAAUCUAUUACUCUGAAGUUUAUUCAAUUAAUUCAGAUGUUCGGUAACAUCAACAAAAAAGGUAUUUGCAGCAUCUGGCAAUAAUUCCUUAAUAAAAUGGCUGUUGGAAAAAGACCUAACCAUUUCUGUGGUACAGCACAAAAAGUGUCCAAUGGAUUUUUUUUGCUUUGACAGCUGGUGAAAUCAUUUUGCUGCUUUUUCAAGUGUUAAACCAAUUUUAGGCAACAUCUUUUCCCUCUUUUUUCAUUAAACUGAACAUAUAAAUUCA
Long non-coding RNA from Biomphalaria glabrata, 728 nucleotides. RefSeq lists it as uncharacterized. The record is from RefSeq and is a predicted model, not a curated record. The transcript has 3 exons. NCBI's taxonomy places the organism in Eukaryota, Metazoa, Mollusca, Gastropoda, Planorbidae.